Molecule: ribosomal RNA, 263 nt
Filed under: uncultured Staphylococcus sp.
Lineage: Bacteria; Bacillati; Bacillota; Bacilli; Caryophanales; Staphylococcaceae
Description: partial 16S ribosomal RNA
Rfam family: Bacterial small subunit ribosomal RNA
Source: RNAcentral
GUGCCAGCAGCCGCGGUAAUACGUAGGUGGCAAGCGUUAUCCGGAAUUAUUGGGCGUAACGCGCGCGUAGGCGGUUUUUUAAGUCUGAUGUGAAGCCCACGGCUCAACCGUGGAGGGUCAUUGGAAACUGGGAAACUUGAGUGCAGAAGAGGAAAGUGGAAUUCCAUGUGUAGCGGUGAAAUGCGCAGAGAUAUGGAGGAACGCCAGUGGCGAAGGCGACUUUCUGGUCUGUAACUGACGCUGAUGUGCGAAAGCGUGGGGAU